CAGCCGCCACGGGAAUAUGAGGGGGGCAAGCGUUGUUCGGAAUUAUUGGGCGUAAAGGGUGCGUAGGCGGUCUGAUAAGUCUUAUGUGAAAUCUAUGGGCUCAACCGGGGAGGGUCAUUGGAAACUGGGAAACUUGAGUGCAGAAGAGGAGAGUGGAAUUCCACGUGUAGCGGUGAAAUGCGUAGAGAUGUGGAGGAACACCAGUGGCGAAGGCGACUCUCUGGUCUGUAACUGACGCUGAGGAGCGAAAGCGUGGGGAGCGAACAGGAUUAGAUACCCCUGUAGUCCCUGUCUCUUAUAC
This 301-nucleotide ribosomal RNA is filed under the name uncultured bacterium. RNAcentral's name for it is "partial 16S ribosomal RNA". It matches the Rfam family "Bacterial small subunit ribosomal RNA", at positions 509 to 807 of the family's 1533-position model. The record is from RNAcentral.